This 512-nucleotide long non-coding RNA is filed under the name Gossypium raimondii (Peruvian cotton). Its description in RNAcentral is "long non-coding RNA (GRAI_LNC006661)". Lineage: Eukaryota; Viridiplantae; Streptophyta; Magnoliopsida; Malvales; Malvaceae. The record is from RNAcentral.
AAGCAACAAGACACAGUGGACUGGAAUGAAGCUACUUGAAAAGAGAAGCACCAGAGCAAAUCAAAGAAUUAACGAGAUCGGGCGAAAUUGGUCUUUCUUAGUCUUUGCUCUGUUCUCGUUACAUGACAACGAGCAAAGAGGGGCAGCUGUAGAAGCCCAAUUUCACCCGGGCCCAUUACAAACAAAUAAAAUACAUAAACCCAAACCUCAACCCACCUAAACACUAACCCAACACCCAUGACCCAAACAUCAGCCCAAAUAAAUUAAAACCCUAAUGGCCUAACAAGCCCAAAACCUAAACUAUUUUCAGCCAAAAAAAAAGAAAGAAACAAAAAAAACCUAGCCGCUCUCCCUAGCCUAGCGCCGCAACCACCCUUGGUCUUCUGCUCACCUGCUCUGCCAGCAACCACCGCCAACUGCCACUGUCAUCUCCACCCACGUGCGCCCAUGCCUGCAAUGACAGAGAGGAAACAUCAGCAAGCAAAAAAUAGACUAGAAAUCUCAUGUAAAUC